GGGCCGUUAGCUCAGUCAGGCAGAGCAGAGGACUUUUAAUCCUAAGGUCGCGGGUUCGAUUCCCUCACGGCCCACCA
RNAcentral lists this transfer RNA (77 nucleotides) under Coriobacteriales bacterium. Its description in RNAcentral is "tRNA-Lys". It matches the Rfam family "tRNA". Rfam says of the family: Transfer RNA (tRNA) molecules are approximately 80 nucleotides in length. Their secondary structure includes four short double-helical elements and three loops (D, anti-codon, and T loops). Lineage: Bacteria; Bacillati; Actinomycetota; Coriobacteriia; Coriobacteriales. The record is from RNAcentral.